This 253-nucleotide ribosomal RNA is filed under the name uncultured bacterium. RNAcentral describes it as "partial 16S ribosomal RNA". It matches the Rfam family "Bacterial small subunit ribosomal RNA", at positions 524 to 776 of the family's 1533-position model. The record is from RNAcentral.
UACGGAGGGGGCUAGCGUUGUUCGGAAUUACUGGGCGUAAAGCGUACGUAGGCGGCUUUGUAAGUUAGAGGUGAAAGCCCGGGGCUCAACUCCGGAAUUGCCUUUAAGACUGCAUCGCUUGAAUCAUGGAGAGGUGAGUGGAAUUCCGAGUGUAGAGGUGAAAUUCGUAGAUAUUCGGAAGAACACCUGUGGCGAAGGCGACCCCCUGGUUGGAUACUGACGCUGAGACGCGAAAGCGUGGGGAGCAAACAGG